This 498-nucleotide ribosomal RNA is filed under the name uncultured bacterium. Its description in RNAcentral is "partial 16S ribosomal RNA". It matches the Rfam family "Bacterial small subunit ribosomal RNA", at positions 30 to 523 of the family's 1533-position model. The record is from RNAcentral.
AUUGAACGCUGGCGGCAUGCCUUACACAUGCAAGUCGAACGGUAACAGGUCUUCGGAUGCUGACGAGUGGCGAACGGGUGAGUAAUACAUCGGAACGUGCCCGAGAGUGGGGGAUAACGAGGCGAAAGCUUUGCUAAUACCGCAUACGAUCUCAGGAUGAAAGCAGGGGACCGCAAGGCCUUGCGCUCACGGAGCGGCCGAUGGCAGAUUAGGUAGUUGGUGGGAUAAAAGCUUACCAAGCCGACGAUCUGUAGCUGGUCUGAGAGGACGACCAGCCACACUGGGACUGAGACACGGCCCAGACUCCUACGGGAGGCAGCAGUGGGGAAUUUUGGACAAUGGGCGCAAGCCUGAUCCAGCCAUGCCGCGUGCAGGAUGAAGGCCUUCGGGUUGUAAACUGCUUUUGUACGGAACGAAAAGACUCUGGUUAAUACCUGGGGUCCAUGACGGUACCGUAAGAAUAAGCACCGGCUAACUACGUGCCAGCCGCCGCUGUAA